GAAAUGAUGGAUCAGGUGGAUCCACACUUGAACCAUCUGUAUGAUGAUCUGCACCCACUGGAUCUGUAAAUGGUGGUGCAGAAAGACACAGCACAUCAUUAUAUCGUUGGCUCCGCCCACUGGUGUUCAGUCUAAAGUAGUAGUUGUUGACAAUCAUAAAGUUGUAAUAACAGUAAGAUUGUGAUGUCAGACAAACAUUGUGCUGUUGCUGGCUGUGGGAAAUUAGUGUCUUUGUAAGGGUCGCAAAUAAUUUGAAAAUAUUUAUGUUUCUAAAUAUGCCCCCCUACCAUGAACUAAACUGGACUGUUGCAGAGACCAAGUGUAGUAGGGUACACUACUAUGCAGAAUUCUGGCCUGGUGUUUGGUCCCCCCUUUCUCUGGCUUGUGUCUCCAUCAUCAUUACACUCUUGUCAGUGUAAUAGUAUCGUCGUCUGCAUACCAGGACUUUGUUACUCAGCUGUCCCUUCUCCUUCAAGCUAC
Molecule: non-coding RNA, 480 nt
Organism: Paramisgurnus dabryanus
Lineage: Eukaryota; Metazoa; Chordata; Actinopteri; Cypriniformes; Cobitidae
Source: RefSeq, a predicted model, not a curated record